GGGGCCAUAAUAAAAAUUUAAUCAUACUUUUCUGUCGUUAUGCACAUCUACAUAGUAUGUCCUUAUUAAUCACAAAGUUUCAUGAAAUUUUGUUGUGAUGACAAGAACAGGACCCACUGGUCGAAUCCACAGACCUCAGUACACAAGGCUUUUAAUGAUCAAACCAACAAUUUCCCCACACUAGGUACAAGAACAGAACAUGGAAAAGAAUAUACAGAAUUAAAAUGUUGAAAAUGAUUUAAUAUGAAAUGCUGUAAAAACAAAACGUAUAACAAUAAGUAUCACAAGGUUAAGAAUUAAUGAAAUUUCCUUAAAUCAUCAAAAAUUUGCCUUGCUUGUAAGCAGGUAUACCAAUUACAUAUUGCACUAUUUCUGAUUUUACAGUUCAUGAGAUCUAUCACAAUUAACAACCAUCUGACAUAGUAGGAUGCCACAUAGACUUAAAAACAUUACUUCAUACAGACUAGAGUUCAUCACGAUUAAAGAAAGACUUAUUGGCAUAUAUCUUACAGUCAAAGAGAAAACCACAUUACUUUUUUCAUGUAAACAAAUAAGAACUGGAUUUGAUUAAGCACAUGAUUUAAGGUAGCACUACUAUAAAACAAUAACAAUAAAAAAAAAACGCAUUAUCAAAUCAAUUCUCAUUAAGAUGGAAUUAAAAAAUAAAACAUAAAAUGAAAAUUGGUUAAGUUUGAUAAGGUUCUUUAAACUUAAAAAAUAAUGCCCGCUUUCCAAUCAAUGACGAACCUUCUCCCAGACAGGCCGUUCAGCAUUUAGACAAUUCUAGUUUCAACACUAUCAUUUGUUAUCAAAUAACGGUUGCCCAAUAGUGAUUACCUAACUGAACAGAUUCAGCUGUUGGUUCACUUGGUAAUAAUAUUUUUCCUUCCACAUAUCCAGGACAUAAUCCUAUGUAGUCUAGGAAGUCUCCAGAUAUUCAGUCUUCACGCCGAGUGGCAGCCCAGGCAGCCCAGGCUGGUAAAAUUGCUCUCGGGCCUGUAAAAAUCAGACCUACAGGCCAACAGAAUCUAACUAAAAAUUUCAAAAAUUGAGCU
This 1055-nucleotide long non-coding RNA is filed under the name Mytilus galloprovincialis (Mediterranean mussel). Lineage: Eukaryota; Metazoa; Mollusca; Bivalvia; Mytilida; Mytilidae. The record is from RNAcentral.